This 1461-nucleotide ribosomal RNA is filed under the name uncultured bacterium. RNAcentral describes it as "bacterial SSU rRNA". The stretch from base 256 to 1461 matches the Rfam family "Bacterial small subunit ribosomal RNA". The record is from RNAcentral.
CGGCGGGCUCACCUGCACAUGCAGAAACACGUUAUGUUAUUUAAUGCCCGCCCAACGGCCACGCGCCAGGCUCACGCCCAGACGACGUUUACGCGCGCCCUGACGCAGAAACGCAUACACGCCGCUAUGCGGAAUAAUCGCUUACGCCGGAUGCAGGCUCACCGCUUCCACCUGCGGCGGGCCGCUGCCUUAACGUUUUUUCGGGCUCGGAUAUUUUUAGCCGCCACGCGGCACCAGCACGCCCGGGCCCAGGCUUUCUUACGGCGGCGCGCCCAGCGGCGGAAUUUUCGCCCACGGCGGCGGAAAGCCUUUAAUCGCCACCCAGCCACGCGGGGUAUGAAAAAACGCUUUACGCGGUUUAAACACCACUUUUUACGGCAGCAGAAACGGGUUAUAGGUCAGGCCACGCACAUCCUGGCUGGUCACUUCCCAAAAGCUCGCGCCCGGUUACACGCCAUGCCAGCAGCCACGAUAAUACGGCGGAUGGCUACGUUAAUCCGGAAUCACCGGACGCAGCGCAUGCGCCGGCGGUUUGUUCAGGCUAAUAUGAAAGCCACGCGCUUAGCCCGGAAAACGCAUUUCAAACUGGCACACCAGGGUUUUAUACAGCGGGGUGCUGUUCCAGGUAUAACGAUGAAACGCAUACAGAUCCGGCGGAAUGCCGGUCGCAAACGCCGCGCCCUGCACAAACACGCUCGCUUACGCACGAAAACGCGGGCUGCACACCGGGUUGCUCACACGGGUGGUCCACGCGGUAAAGCUGGUUUAUUCGCUGUUCGGGGUUUUAAACACCGGGCUUUCCAGUUAACGCAUCAGAUACACCGCCUGCGGGGUACGGCCGCACGGUUAAAAUUCAAAGCUGUUCACCGGCGCACGCACCAGCGGCGGCGCAUGCGGUUUAAUACGAUGCAGCGCAAAAAAACGCACUUAUUCCUGGCAGCCGCAAAAUUUUUCGCUAAUAAACUGAUGACGACGGCUGCUAUGGCUCAGAUGCUGCAUCGCGGUGGUCAGUUCAUGCUGGCUAAUGUUCGGUUAGGUGCCGCAACGCGCGCAGCCACGAUCUUUGCUCGCCAGCGGAUCAUGACGGCUGCUUUACGGGCUCUGACGAUGAUACACCGGCGGCAGAUGCGGACGACGUUAGGUCAUCAUCGCACGCACCAGCAGCGCCACGCAGGUGCUGCAAUGAUCGGUGCACAGGGUCGCAAAGCCACGCGGCGGCGCCAGGCCCAUAAAGCUGGUGGUGGUACGAAUCGGGGUCUGCAGUUCCACGCCAUGCAGACGAAAACGUUAAUAAUCAUGAAUCAGAAUGCCACGAUGAAUACGUUCACGCGCUUUAUACACGCCGCCGGUCACGCCAUGGCUAUGCGCCGCGCCGCUGGUGCUCAGUUUCACUUUCGGCAGCGCGUUCACCACGGUCGGUUCAUGGCUCGGGCUGGUGGUCGCCAGCAGACGAUGGCCGCC